Molecule: ribosomal RNA, 774 nt
Filed under: uncultured Neocallimastigales
Lineage: Eukaryota; Fungi; Neocallimastigomycota; Neocallimastigomycetes; Neocallimastigales
Description: partial large subunit ribosomal RNA
Rfam family: Eukaryotic large subunit ribosomal RNA
Source: RNAcentral
AGAGAGAGACAUGCGCGCAUAUCAAUAAGCGGAGGAAAAGAAACUAACAAGGAUUCCCCUAGUAACGGCGAGUGAAGCGGGAAGAACUCAAAUUUGAAAUCUUAAAGGGUUUCCCUUUACGAAUUGUAGUUUAAAGAAGUGUUUUCUGUUGAGGUUUUGGUAAAAGUUCUUUGGAAUAGGACAUCAUAGAGGGUGAGAAUCCCGUAUUUGACCUUUACUUUCAACUUUGUGAUACACUUUCAAAGAGUCGGAUUGUUUGGGAAUGCAGUCCAAAAUGGGUGGUAAAUUUCAUCUAAAGCUAAAUAUUGGCGAGAGACCGAUAGCGAACAAGUACCGUGAGGGAAAGAUGAAAAGAACUUUGAAAAGAGAGUUAAACAGUACGUGAAAUUGUCAAAAGGGAAGCGUUUGACACCAGUGUUGUUUUUCUGAAAAUCAAUUAAAGAACUGUUUAUGCUAAGUUGUUUAGACUUUAUCAGCUAACUGUUUAGUUUUGAGCUUUUCUUUAAUGCACUUUUCAGUUAACAAGUCAACAUCAAUUUCUUUUGCUGUAAAAAAGCUUGAGGAAGGUGGCUUGAAAUUCGUCUUAAGUGUUUAUAGCCUCUUGCCUAUGCAGUCGGAGAGAUUGAGGUCUGCAGCGUAGAUCCUUCGGGGCUAAAUGCAUUUGUGCUAAGUUAUAGCAUUUUAUAGACAACUUGUUGACUAUGAUUUGUCUUGUAGCUUACUCGCUUAUGUUAUUUUACCUACGCUUAGGAUGUUGAGCGCAUGUCUCUCUCU